Molecule: ribosomal RNA, 497 nt
Filed under: uncultured bacterium
Lineage: Bacteria
Description: partial 16S ribosomal RNA
Rfam family: Bacterial small subunit ribosomal RNA
Source: RNAcentral
GAUGAACGCUGGCGGCGUGCCUAAUACAUGCAAGUCGAGCGAACGGACGAGAAGCUUGCUUCUCUGAUGUUAGCGGCGGACGGGUGAGUAACACGUGGAUAACCUACCUAUAAGACUGGGAUAACUUCGGGAAACCGGAGCUAAUACCGGAUAAUAUUUUGAACCGCAUGGUUCAAAAGUGAAAGACGGUCUUGCUGUCAGUGAUAGAUGGAUCCGCGCUGCAUUAGCUAGUUGGUAGGGUAACGGCUUACCAAGGCAACGAUGCCUAGCCGACCUGAGAGGGUGAUCGACCACACUGGAACUGAGAAACGGUCCAGACUCCUACGGCAGGCAGCAGUAGGGAAUCUUCCGCAAUGGGCGAAAGCCUGACGGAGCAACGCCGCGUGAGGGAUGAAGGUCUUCGGAUCGUAAAACUCUGUUAUUAGGGAAGAACAUAUGUGUAAGUAACUGUGCACAUCUUGACGGUACCUAAUCAGAAAGCCACGGCUAACUACGUG